CUUCGGGUCGUAAAGCUCUGUCAGAGGGAAAGAAAUGUGGGCAGUUAAUACCUGUUCCGCUUGACGGUACCCUCAGAGGAAGCACCGGCUAACUCCGUGCCAGCAGCCGCGGUAAUACGGAGGGUGCGAGCGUUGUUCGGAAUUAUUGGGCGUAAAGCGCGUGUAGGCGGUUUGCUCAGUCUGAUGUGAAAGCCCUGGGCUCAACCUGGGAAGUGCAUUGGAUACUGGCAGACUUGAGUACGGGAGAGGGUAGUGGAAUUCCCAGUGUAGGAGUGAAAUCCGURGAUAUUGGGAGGAACACCGGUGGCGAAGGCGGCUGCCUGGACCGAUACUGACSCUGAGACGCGAAAGCGUGGGGAGCAAACAGGAUUAGAUACCCUGGUAGUCCACGCCGUAAACGAUGAGUACUAGGUGUUGCGGGUAUUGACCCCUGCAGUGCCGUAGCUAACGCAUUAAGUACUCCGCCUGGGAAGUACGGUCGCAAGACUAAAACUCAAAGGAAUU
RNAcentral lists this ribosomal RNA (504 nucleotides) under uncultured Geobacter sp. Its description in RNAcentral is "bacterial SSU rRNA". It matches the Rfam family "Bacterial small subunit ribosomal RNA", at positions 416 to 911 of the family's 1533-position model. Lineage: Bacteria; Pseudomonadati; Thermodesulfobacteriota; Desulfuromonadia; Geobacterales; Geobacteraceae. The record is from RNAcentral.